Molecule: ribosomal RNA, 510 nt
Filed under: uncultured microorganism
Description: bacterial SSU rRNA
Rfam family: Bacterial small subunit ribosomal RNA
Source: RNAcentral
GAGUUUGAUCCUGGCUCAGGAUGAACGCUGGCGGCGUGCCUAAUACAUGCAAGUCGAGCGAACGGACGAGAAGCUUGCUUCUCUGAUGUUAGCGGCGGACGGGUGAGUAACACGUGGGUAACCUACCUAUAAGACUGGGAUAACUCCGGGAAACCGGGGCUAAUACCGGAUAACACAUGAAACCGCAUGGUUUCAUGAUGAAAGACGGUCUUGCUGUCACUUAUAGAUGGAUCCGCGCUGCAUUAGCUAGUUGGUAAGGUAACGGCUUACCAAGGCAACGAUGCAUAGCCGACCUGAGAGGGUGAUCGGCCACACUGGAACUGAGACACGGUCCAGACUCCUACGGGAGGCAGCAGUAGGGAAUCUUCCGCAAUGGGCGAAAGCCUGACGGAGCAACGCCGCGUGAGUGAUGAAGGUCUUCGGAUCGUAAAACUCUGUUAUUAGGGAAGAACAUAUGUGUAAGUAACUGUGCACAUCUUGACGGUACCUAAUCAGAAAGCCACGGCUAAC